RNAcentral lists this transfer RNA (90 nucleotides) under Candidatus Falkowiibacteriota bacterium. Its description in RNAcentral is "tRNA-Ser". It matches the Rfam family "tRNA". Rfam says of the family: Transfer RNA (tRNA) molecules are approximately 80 nucleotides in length. The record is from RNAcentral. Lineage: Bacteria; Candidatus Falkowiibacteriota.
GGAGAGUUCGCCUAGUGGUCUAUGGCGCCGCCUUGGAAAGGCGGUUGGGCUUCACCGCCCUCGAGGGUUCAAAUCCCUCACUCUCCGCCA